AUUUUCCUUUGCUUCAGCUAUCGGUUGUGUUCUACUAUGAAAAAAGUUAGCGCCGGUUAGCGGUAGCAACAGCUAGCAGUAAUAUUAAGUGAUACUACUACAACAGACUGUGCCGCUUGUCAGGUUACACAACUUAAUAUGUAUAUAUGUUCUUGUCAGUGGACGUAUGUCGCAGGAGGUGGAAGUCGCUCAGGGACAGGUACUUACGACACAAAAUGAGUGAAAAGGAGGGGGAAAAGAGCGGGUCAGCGGCAGGGACAGUGACGAAAUGGAAAUUCGCUGGGGUCCUGUCCUUCCUCGACCCCUUUGUAACCCCGAGGGAGACCAGCAGCAACUUACUUCGGGGGGCAGAGGAGGUAGAGGAGGACGGGGCUCCAGAUACACUGUAAGGGGCAGGAGAAGAUGAGGAGCUUGAGGAGGCAGCAGCAGGGCCAUCGCACAUAGCAGGUUUGUUGACAAGUGAAGACACGUACAGCUUCUGUAUUAUGGCCACAGGAACGGUUUACAGUGCGGCACGAUUCUUUCUAUCUUUAAUGUGCUGUAAUAUAGAUCAUGCAUAUAUCAUCCAAGCAAAAAAAACAAGUCUUCUUUCUCAAUAACAUAGACCAGCCCAGCAGUGAGUCAGAGACAGAGGACGCUGCUCCUGCUCCUGCUCCUGCCCCUGCCGCUGGCCCUUCCCGUGUACCUGUCCCGGAGGCUGGCCCUGCCCCAAGACCACAGAGCGGGACGAAGAGGAAGAGAGCCAGGGUACCGGAGGGGAACACAAAUAUCCAGACAGCCAUCCUCCAGGCCCUGCAGAGGCAAAACGCUGUGCCUACCCCUACCCCGCUCUCUGGGAUUGAGCACUUUUUAACUGGCCUAGUUCCUUCCCUGGAGAGAAUGCCACCUGAAGUACUGGAGUACGUUCAAUUCCAAAUUCGAAAGGUCAUAUUUGACAAUACUAAUUUCACACUUUAUUUGGAACCUGUUUAAGCUUAUUAGCUAGUGGUGGUGACAAUCUCUCCAGGGAAAGAACUAGGCUGAUGUCACUGUUCAUUUGUUAUUGUUCCGUUAUGUUUAUAUUAUAUAUUUCGUAUGUUAUUUUUGUUAUUUAUAUAAUUAUUUUUUAAAUAAAAUAUUUCUCACAACUCUUCUCUCAAUAUAUGAUUUUAAGAUCUAGCAUGCAUGGACACAAAUAUACAUUUUUAAUAACACUACUUAAUUGAACAAUUUUAAUAACAAUUUAAUAAUAAUGAAGGAAUCCCUUUUGUUUUGUGUGGGUGGCUCUUAAAAGAGCCGUUUUGGG
This 1285-nucleotide long non-coding RNA is filed under the name Gadus morhua (Atlantic cod). Its description in RNAcentral is "lncRNA (ENSGMOG00000024255.1)". Lineage: Eukaryota; Metazoa; Chordata; Actinopteri; Gadiformes; Gadidae. The record is from RNAcentral.